Molecule: long non-coding RNA, 2658 nt
Filed under: Homo sapiens (human)
Lineage: Eukaryota; Metazoa; Chordata; Mammalia; Primates; Hominidae
Description: HSALNT0342125
Source: RNAcentral
CUCUGUUGCAUGCUUACGUAAUGUAAAAUAGUAGGCACAUAGUUGAAUGAAGGCUCAGGCGGAGAGGAUCACUUUUCAAAGAUUGUAAAAGAAGUUACGUGGAUAGUGUGUGUUAUGCAGCAAGGAAAGGAAUGGAAAAUCAGAAGACGUGUUUAGAUCACACAAACCAGAGGUGAAAGCUGAAUCUGAGAGGCUUCUGUUUCCAGCAAUAAGGCCAAUAAUACCCCAAGCUCCUGACUGAAACCAAACACUCUGGAGGGACACUCUCACAUGCAGGCCAGAAGGAAUUUGAAUAGAAGGAAACAGGCUAAAGAAGAGAGCUCAUGGCAAAAAUUACAAACCAUACAAGGAAGGCAUUCACCACAGUGAGAAUUUAAUCCUUCCAACACGUGAGCUAGGAACAGCAGCAUUAACAUCACCUGGAAACUUCUUGGAAAUGCAGAACUUCAGACCCACGUAGACCUACUGAGUCAGAAUCUGCUUUUUUUUUCUUUUUCUUUUUUUUUUUUUUUUGAGACAGAGGACAGAGUCUCCCUCUGUUGCUCGGGCGAGAGGGCAGUGGCGCUAUCUCGGCUCACCGCAAGCUCCGCCGCCCUGGUUCACACCAUUCUCCUGCCUCAGCCUCCCGAGUAGCUGGGACUACAGGCACCCGCCACCGCGCCCGGCUAAUUUUUUGUAUUUUUAGUAGAGACGAGGUUUCACCGUAUUAGCCAGGAUGGUCUCGAUCUCCUGACCUCGUGAUCCGCCCGCCUCGGCCUCCCAAAGUGCUGGGAUUACAGGCGUGAGCCACCGCGCCCGGCCUAGAAUCUGCUUUUUAACAACAUAAUUCAAGUUUGAGAAGCUCUGCUAAAAAAAAAAAAAAGCAACAAAAAAGAUGCCCUUCCUUACCUGUUCAGGUACGUGGUUUCUUCAAAUGUUCCUGUGUCUUCCCUAAAUACAAACCUACUUUCUCUGCUGGAUCCUCUCAACCACAUCUAAACAUUUAAAUCUCUCCCAUUCUAAAUCAACAUUCAAGCCAUUUUUAAAAACUGCCCUAUAACCUCUUAUCUCCAGGUAGUGAAUGAUUUAUGCUCUUUUCCUCUACAAAGCCAAACAUCUUCAAAGACUUUCUUAUAUUCUAUUUCUAUUUUGCUUCCUUUAUUUCUCAACACACUUUUAAAAGAGAUCAUUAGCUGUUGUCCCCUAUCAAGUCUUCCUCUUUUUCAUGGUAAUAAUACCCUAGCAUUUAGCCAGGCACCUGACUGUAAAGACGCUAAAGACUGUAAAGGCACUUGAGUAAAUAUCAUUUUCUAGCUUCCCUUCCAGUUCUGUGUGCCCAUGUUUCUAGGUUCUGAUUGUUGGGAUGCUAAUGGAAAUGAUAUGUGUAUCUUCUGAGAAAUUAUCUUAAAUGGAGAGAGUAUAACCUUCUUGUUUCUUACCUCUUUUCUUCUGGUGCAAUGUGGAUGAAAUGCUCAAAUGCCACCAGCCAACAUGGACCAUAAAUUAAAUUUGGAAUGGAAGCCACACAUGACAUGGGAACAAGAUGGAAAACUUUAGGUUAUCAUUGGGAUUUCCUGGCUUUUCCAAUCAACCUAUGGCCUCUAACAAGCUCACAAAACAGCAGGCUGAAGCUAUGUUCAUCUAAAAGCAAAACAUUUGGUCAAUUAAACCAAUUUAAUAAAAAAACUGAAUUUAUUGGAAGGACAGCAAUUUUCUUCUUGAAUAGUUAGUUUGGCAUCAUGUGGGCAAAGCAUUAAACUCUGGAACGUUUUUUCUUCUCCCGAUUUAAAUUUGGAAUUUGAAAGUAUGGCUUUCCUUGUGCUUCCUUUCUUCAAAUUAUGCAGGAGAGUAACUGUAGGUCUCAGAGACAGGUGCCUAUAAAAGCUAGGUCAGUAAAGCAAAUGAAUGGACAAGGUUGUGUCCGUUCAAUAACAGGUGCAUGAAGACAAAUGUAUGUUGUGGUAAUGUUAAAAAGGAAUACAAGACUAUGAAGGGUGGAAGAGGGAGAGAUGAGUGUUGCAGAAAUGUUGACUGAAAAGGAAAAAAUAAAGACCAGAUUUUAGGGAAUAGAGCAGAGAGGGCAAAGAAAUUUCAGUGAAGACCCUGCUUCCACUGGGUUCACGUAGAAGGAGAAAAACACUCCCUCUUGAGGGUGACAAGGUGACUAUGGCAACCAUCUUGAACCGGAACCAGGCCUGAAUUUAUUAACUCUGUGAGGAGUUUGCACUAUAGGUUGAGGAACGACAACCAAAUGGAUAGAAAAAUCUAUCCUAACGCAGGAAUAGAAAAGCAAAUACUGCAUGUUCUCACUUAUAAGUGGGAGCUACAUGAUGAGAACACAUGGACACACAGAAGGAAGCAACACACCCUGGGGCCUGUUGGGAGGUGGAGUGUGGGAGUAGGGAGAGGAUCAGCAAAGAUAGCUACUGGGUAUUGGGCUUGACACCUGGGUGACAAAGUGGUCUGUGCAGCGGACCCCCAUGGCACAAGUCUGCCUGUAUGGCAGACCUGCAUAUGUACUCCUGAACUUAAAAUAAAAGUUAAAUUAAAAAAAGUCUAUUCUAAGAGGAAUUAGUCUUGUAAGUAGAUCAUCCCCACACCUCCAUAUGAGCUGCUUGCCCCAGAAUCACACAUGGUCAUGAGUCAGCAUCUGGGAGGGAAAACAACAGCCCCCGGACC